GUCCUACGGGAGGCAGCAGUGAGGAAUAUUGGUCAAUGGGCGAGAGCCUGAACCAGCCAAGUCGCGUGAAGGAUGACGGCCCUAUGGGUUGUAAACUUCUUUUGUCAGGGAGCAAUUGGGUCCACGCGUGGGCUUAGCGAGAGUACCUGAAGAAAAAGCAUCGGCUAACUCCGUGCCAGCAGCCGCGGUAAUACGGAGGAUGCGAGCGUUAUCCGGAUUUAUUGGGUUUAAAGGGUGCGUAGGCGGUCCGUUAAGUCAGCGGUAAAAUUGCGGGGCUCAACCCCGUCGAGCCGUUGAAACUGGCA
RNAcentral lists this ribosomal RNA (305 nucleotides) under uncultured bacterium. RNAcentral's name for it is "bacterial SSU rRNA". It matches the Rfam family "Bacterial small subunit ribosomal RNA", at positions 335 to 638 of the family's 1533-position model. The record is from RNAcentral.